GAUGAAGAACGUAGCGAAAUGCGAUAAGUAAUAUGAAUUGCAGAUAUUCGUGAAUCAUCGAAUCUUUGAACGCACAUUGCGCCCUUUGGUAUUCCAAAGGGCAUGCCUGUUUGAGCGUCAUUUCUCCCUCAAACCCUCGGGUUUGGUGUUGAGCGAUACGCUGGGUUUGCUUGAAAGAAAGGCGGAGUAUAAACUAAUGGAUAGGUUUUUUCCACUCAUUGGUACAAACUCCAAAACUUCUUCCAAAUUCGACCUCAAAUCAGGUAGGACUACCCGCUGAACUUAAGCAUAUCAAUAAGCGGAGAA
Molecule: unclassified non-coding RNA, 306 nt
Filed under: soil metagenome
Description: partial contains 5.8S ribosomal RNA, internal transcribed spacer 2, and large subunit ribosomal RNA
Rfam family: 5.8S ribosomal RNA (bases 1-120)
Source: RNAcentral